UACUGGCUCUCGCUUAUUAUCCUCGUUGGCAUCUACGUGUACGGAAUUUAUAUAUCGCUGACCGCUUCCAAGUAUCUCUACACCAUGGAGAGCUACACUUACGAAGGAGAACCUGUACGACCCGACCAAAUCCACAAGAGGCAAAGAGCGCGCAAGAAGGGCAUCGCGGCGCCAUUAAUCCUCAACGAAGACGAGCGCCUCAGAAGCGAGGAUGCAGAGCGGCUGCGGCAGAUACGUCUACGAAAGGCAAUGAUGGCGCCUGACACUCAACUGAAGUA
RNAcentral lists this long non-coding RNA (278 nucleotides) under Dermacentor andersoni. Its description in RNAcentral is "uncharacterized LOC126521185". The record is from RNAcentral. Lineage: Eukaryota; Metazoa; Arthropoda; Arachnida; Ixodida; Ixodidae.